Molecule: long non-coding RNA, 488 nt
Organism: Dreissena polymorpha
Lineage: Eukaryota; Metazoa; Mollusca; Bivalvia; Myida; Dreissenidae
Exons: 3
Source: RefSeq, a predicted model, not a curated record
CUGUGCUAUUUUAAUUAUAGAAUACAAAUAAUUAUGGGAUAAUAAAGUGAUUAGCCUAAAUUAACUAAACAUCAUGCCAAUGAUCCGGAAGCUUCUAUUAAAACUGUGUACAAGGGGAAAAGCCGGCGAACAGUAGGCCUACAUGUCACCGAGAAGUGGGGCAGUAGGCAAAAGCUUGGAACGCAAUCACAAGAACUUGCAGAAGUUCAGAUUGAGAAUGAGAAACCAGAAACAAACUUAAUUGCUAACUGUACUACAAAUAGCAGUUCAGUAUCAGACGUAGAUACUUCGGUUACAUUUGAUGAACUGUACAGGUGUUGUGAUUGCUGUUCAUGGGAGACUACGUGCCUCACAUGCUUGCGGUUGAGGCAUAAACAUCCUCAUCUGCAUUUGGAAGAACAUGGCUUACCUUUCUUUCAUUGAUGAUGAUGAGGCUUGGAAAUUGAAUGACCAUUCCUGUAGCACUAUUUACCUGAAAAAACUCGUGG